Molecule: ribosomal RNA, 269 nt
Filed under: uncultured prokaryote
Description: partial 16S ribosomal RNA
Rfam family: Bacterial small subunit ribosomal RNA
Source: RNAcentral
UACGGAGGAUGCGAGCGUUAUCCGGAUUUAUUGGGUUUAAAGGGUGCGCAGGCGGGAGAUUAAGUCGGCGGUGAAAUUUUGCAGCUCAACUGUAAAAGUGCCUUCGAAACUGGUUUCCUUGAGUGUAGAUGAAGUAGGCGGAAUUUGUGGUGUAGCGGUGAAAUGCAUAGAUAUCACGAGGAACUCCGAUUGCGCAGGCAGCUUACUAAACUACUACUGACGCUCAGGCACGAAGGCGUGGGGAUCAAACAGGAUUAGAUACCCCUGUA